GCUUGCUUUCUUUGCUGGCGACCGGCGCACGGGUGAGUAACACGUAUCCAACCUACCCUUUACUCGGGGAUAGCCUUUCGAAAGAAAGAUUAAUACCCGAUAGCAUAAUGAUUCCGCAUGGUUUCAUUAUUAAAGGAUUCCGGUAAAGGAUGGGGAUGCGUUCCAUUAGGUUGUUGGUGGGGUAACGGCCCACCAAGCCUUCGAUGGAUAGGGGUUCUGAGAGGAGGGUCCCCCACAUUGGAACUGAGACACGGUCCAAACUCCUACGGGAGGCAGCAUG
This 280-nucleotide ribosomal RNA is filed under the name uncultured bacterium. Its description in RNAcentral is "partial 16S ribosomal RNA". It matches the Rfam family "Bacterial small subunit ribosomal RNA", at positions 78 to 353 of the family's 1533-position model. The record is from RNAcentral.